This 433-nucleotide ribosomal RNA is filed under the name uncultured bacterium. RNAcentral describes it as "partial 16S ribosomal RNA". It matches the Rfam family "Bacterial small subunit ribosomal RNA", at positions 29 to 507 of the family's 1533-position model. The record is from RNAcentral.
AACGAACGCUGGCGGCAUGCCUAACACAUGCAAGUCGAACGAGACCUUCGGGUCUAGUGGCGCACGGGUGCGUAACGCGUGGGAACCUGCCCUUAGGUUCGGAAUAACUCCCCGAAAGGGGUGCUAAUACCGGAUAAUGUCUUCGGACCAAAGAUUUAUCGCCUUUGGAUGUGCCCGCGUUGGAUUAGCUAGUUGGUAGGGUAAAAGCCUACCAAGGCGACGAUCCAUAGCUGGUCUGAGAGGAUGAUCAGCCACACUGGGACUGAGACACGGCCCAGACUCCUACGGGAGGCAGCAGUGGGGAAUAUUGGACAAUGGGCGAAAGCCUGAUCCAGCAAUGCCGCGUGAGUGAUGAAGGCCUUAGGGUUGUAAAGCUCUUUUACCCGGGAUGAUAAUGACAUUACCGGGAGAAUAAGCUCCGGCUAACUCCGUG